UGGGGAAUAUUGGACAAUGGGGGCAACCCUGAUCCAGCAAUGCCGCGUGUGUGAAGAAGGUCUUCGGAUUGUAAAGCACUUUCGACGGGGACGAUGAUGACGGUACCCGUAGAAGAAGCCCCGGCUAACUUCGUGCCAGCAGCCGCGGUAAUACGAAGGGGGCUAGCGUUGCUCGGAAUGACUGGGCGUAAAGGGCGUGUAGGCGGUUUACACAGUCAGAUGUGAAAUCCCCGGGCUUAACCUGGGAGCUGCAUUUGAUACGUGUAGACUAGAGUGUGAGAGAGGGUUGUGGAAUUCCCAGUGUAGAGGUGAAAUUCGUAGAUAUUGGGAAGAACACCGGUGGCGAAGGCGGCAACCUGGCUCAUGACUGACGCUGAGGCGCGAAAGCGUGGGGAGCAAACAGGAUUAGAUACCCUGGUAGUCCACGCUGUAAACG
This 436-nucleotide ribosomal RNA is filed under the name uncultured bacterium. RNAcentral's name for it is "partial 16S ribosomal RNA". It matches the Rfam family "Bacterial small subunit ribosomal RNA", at positions 355 to 808 of the family's 1533-position model. The record is from RNAcentral.